UUUACUUGUCAGCCGAAUGCACCCUGGGUCAAGGGGUAUUAACAAUGACCAAGUCCGAUCCAGAGAUAGAACACACAAGCGCCGUCACACUUGAGCAGCAGAACCAGAGCUCCAAGACACUCGGACGGACGGAGAUCUCGACAGGAGACGAACGACGAACAGGUGUUCCAACUUAUUCAUUAAAAGCAAAAAGGAAACAGACAGCGGCAGGCAGGAGAAUAUAGAAAACAGCUUCAA
Molecule: non-coding RNA, 237 nt
Organism: Drosophila melanogaster (fruit fly)
Lineage: Eukaryota; Metazoa; Arthropoda; Insecta; Diptera; Drosophilidae
Source: Ensembl